This 253-nucleotide ribosomal RNA is filed under the name uncultured bacterium. RNAcentral describes it as "partial 16S ribosomal RNA". It matches the Rfam family "Bacterial small subunit ribosomal RNA", at positions 524 to 776 of the family's 1533-position model. The record is from RNAcentral.
UACGGAGGGUGCAAGCGUUAUCCGGAUUCAUUGGGUUUAAAGGGAGCGUAGGUGGCCUUAUAAGUCAGUGGUGAAAUCUCUGGGCUUAACCCAGAAAUUGCCAUUGAUACUGUAGGGCUUGAGUACAGUUGCUGUGGGCGGAAUAUGACAUGUAGUGGUGAAAUACAUAGAGAUGUCAUAGAACACCGAUUGCGAAGGCAGCUCACAAAACUGUAACUGACACUGAGGCUCGAAAGUGCGGGGAUCAAACAGG